RNAcentral lists this ribosomal RNA (465 nucleotides) under Vreelandella stevensii. RNAcentral's name for it is "partial 16S ribosomal RNA". It matches the Rfam family "Bacterial small subunit ribosomal RNA", at positions 338 to 795 of the family's 1533-position model. Lineage: Bacteria; Pseudomonadati; Pseudomonadota; Gammaproteobacteria; Oceanospirillales; Halomonadaceae. The record is from RNAcentral.
CCUACGGGUGGCUGCAGUGGGGAAUAUUGGACAAUGGGCGAAAGCCUGAUCCAGCCAUGCCGCGUGUGUGAAGAAGGCCUUCGGGUUGUAAAGCACUUUCAGUGGGGAAGAAAGCCUUGGGGCUAAUACCCUCGAGGAAGGACAUCACCCACAGAAGAAGCACCGGCUAACUCCGUGCCAGCAGCCGCGGUAAUACGGAGGGUGCGAGCGUUAAUCGGAAUUACUGGGCGUAAAGCGCGCGUAGGCGGUCUGAUAAGCCGGUUGUGAAAGCCCCGGGCUCAACCUGGGAACGGCAUCCGGAACUGUCAGGCUAGAGUGCAGGAGAGGAAGGUAGAAUUCCCGGUGUAGCGGUGAAAUGCGUAGAGAUCUGGAGGAAUACCAGUGGCGAAGGCGGUCUUCUGGACUGACACUGACGCUGAGGUGCGAAAGCGUGGGUAGCAAACAGGAUUAGAUACCCUAGUAGUC